This 497-nucleotide ribosomal RNA is filed under the name uncultured bacterium. Its description in RNAcentral is "partial 16S ribosomal RNA". It matches the Rfam family "Bacterial small subunit ribosomal RNA", at positions 28 to 507 of the family's 1533-position model. The record is from RNAcentral.
GAUGAACGCUGGCGGCGUGCCUAAUACAUGCAAGUCGAGCGAACGGACGAGAAGCUUGCUUCUCUGAUGUUAGCGGCGGACGGGUGAGUAACACGUGGAUAACCUACCUAUAAGACUGGGAUAACUUCGGGAAACCGUAGCUAAUACCGGAUAAUAUUUUGAACCGCAUGGUUCAAAAGUGAAAGACGGUCUUGCUGUCACUUAUAGAUGGAUCCGCGCUGCAUUAGCUAGUUGGUAAGGUAACGGCUUACCAAGGCAACGAUGCAUAGCCGACCUGAGAGGGUGAUCGGCCACACUGGAACUGAGACACGGUCCAGACUCCUACGGGAGGCAGCGGUAGGGAAUCUUCCGCAAAGGGCGAAAGCCUGACGGAGCAACGCCGCGUGAGUGAUGAAGGUCUUCGGAUCGUAAAACUCUGUUAUUAGGGAAGAACAUAUGUGUAAGUAACUGUGCACAUCUUGACGGUACCUAAUCAGAAAGCCACGGCUAACUACGUG